UGAAGCCGCAGCUGUCUCUCUCUUUAUAUCGCUCUCUCUCUUUACCUCUCUCUAACCAUCAAUGGCUGCCGUGGCCGUUAAGAAACCCGAUGCCGCCCCUUCCUCUCUUCCCGGUUUCCCUCUUCUCUUACCUAUCCGAAGAAAACCCGAUGCCGCCGAGACAGCCGGGAUUUCAGCCGGCAGAGAACUAGCGCCGUCUCCCAACAUCAACCAUGCCAACACCGCUGCGUCCUCUCCAGUUGAGGUAUUUCUUGCUUCACCAGUUCCCCUAUUAUGCUAGUCGUGGCUUGAACUCUGCCAAAGAGGAUAUAAGUUGAAUAUGCCGGGAUGCACUAAACACCAAGUAAUUUAGUACAAGCGGCCUCUUGUGGUGGAGAGGUUUUGCUCGACUAUUGAAAUUUAAAGGAUUUGUUAAAUGAUGAACGCUCAUCUCAAGAAUACAGCCAAGAGGAUGAAAGUGAUGAUGACUUUGACAACAUAAAUGAAAGUGAUUCUAAUCUUGAUAACGUGGAUGAAAGUGAUUCUGACCUUGAUGGUUGGUAGUUUUAUUGAGGAUUCAAGUUUGAAAUGUUUUGUUUUGGACCAUUUAAGAAUCCUACAUUAUUUAUGUGGAUGUUUUAAAUUUUUUUUUUGUUAUCUUUAAUGAUUUACAUUAGACUUGUAUUGAAUGAUGUUUUUGAGAAUUAUUGAAGGUUUUGAAUAGAAUUUUAAUUAAUUGUGAAAUAUUUUUAGUAA
This is a long non-coding RNA of Capsicum annuum, 735 nucleotides long. RefSeq lists it as uncharacterized. The record is from RefSeq and is a predicted model, not a curated record. Lineage: Eukaryota; Viridiplantae; Streptophyta; Magnoliopsida; Solanales; Solanaceae. The transcript has 2 exons.